Molecule: RNA transcript, 6363 nt
Organism: Xiphophorus hellerii (green swordtail)
Lineage: Eukaryota; Metazoa; Chordata; Actinopteri; Cyprinodontiformes; Poeciliidae
Exons: 4
Source: RefSeq, a predicted model, not a curated record
GAGUUUAAUCAACCGUCUCAAGUUGGCGGAUGGCUCCGUAAAGUUUGGAGGAACCACUUCCUUUGUUCUCUGGACGCCGAAAGCUGGAGGAAGCGGCCACGCCCACAAGCCAUGAAGGUGCUUCACCUCCAAGCUCUAAACGCUCACGUCUUUCUUCAGUGACAGCGGUAUGUACAAUGAUUGCUAAUGCUGUAAAGGAAAACGGCCAAACGACAGGAGUUUGAUGAUAGCGAUCAACGUUACCGUACAAGUUUGUCAACAUGAUGAAUGAAAGACUGAGUUAAAGCGCUGCACCUUUACGCACAGCCAGUGACUUUUAAAGAAAAAGGAAAGUUAUAGACAAAACUGCAAGCAGUUCAAAGUGUUUGGCUAAAAUGUCUGAUGUAUUGAAAGCACAGUCAUCCAAGAGUGAUUCGGAGAUUUCAUCUAAACGAAGUAUUAAAAUGACUGAGAAAGGCUUGAUGUCUUAUAUAAAAAUGUGCCAAAAUAAAAGAAUUGCUAAAUUGAAGCAAGCAAGACGAAUAAUGGACGAUUUAAAUAUUUUGAUGGAGUCAAAUGAUAAAGCUGACUCAGUGAAUUCUCUUCUUGCUACAUUUAUUCAAUGUUCUCAGGAUGCAGAGGCGUCUCAUAAAAACUUAGCAAGUUUGCCACUCCCCUCUGAUGAACUCAUGAAACAAAACGAACAUUUCCAGAAUAAAAUGAGUUCUUACCACGAGUUUACUGAGCUUGUCAGGGGCUGGUUAUGUGAACGGGAGACGCCCUUUGUGCAGCCCAGUGCAGAUGAUUACGAUCAAGACAAGAAUGAUGUUAACGCAAUUAAUCCUGAAGACAGCGCUUCCAAUGUGCGCUCUGUAAAGUCUAAGUCAGGCUCUCAGGUGUCCCGUGUCUCUUCUACAUCUUCGGCUCGCAUUAAGGCGGAGGCCGAGAGAGCGGCGCUGCUGGAGCGCGCUGCAGGACUCAAAAAGAAACAUCAGUUGGAAGCGCAGGAGGAAAAGCUAAAACAAGAAAAAGAGCAACUAGAACUUGAGACUGAGUUAGCGGCUGCUAACGCGAAACUUCGUGUGUUGGAAAUAAAUUCACAGUGUGGCUCAAAAUGUUCUGAUGGCAUGAAUUCGUAUAUUGAAAAGCGCAAUUCCAACAUGGCGCUUGAUCCUUGUGCCAAAGUAUUCGUUCCAGAGAGAAAUAUGGACGAUUUUAAAAUGGCUUCUGCCAUCGCUGAGCAACCAGUUGUUAGGCUGAAACAAAAGCCACCAAUUCAAAGUGUUGAUAAGCCACAAAGUGUCUGUGAUGAAUUAACUGUUCAACAAAUCAGUAUUAUUGACAUCAUGCAGCGGCAAAAUGACAUCACUGCCAUGUUGGUUCAGCAAAACCAAAACUCUGUCUUGCCACCAAGAAACAUCCCUGUUUUCGAUGGUGAUCCUCUUCAAUAUGGAUCAUUUAUAAGAGCGUUUGAGAACAGCGUGGAGGCCAAAACGUCUAAUUUGAGUGACUGUUUGCACUUUUUAGAACAAUACACUAGGGGGCAGCCUAGAGACCUUGUGCAUAGUUGCCAGCAUUUGCCGUCAGAACUGGGCUAUCCUAGAGCUAAAAGUCUUCUUUCUGAACAUUUUGGAAACGAAUAUAAAAUUGCGCAGGCCUACAUGGACAAAAUUAACAACUGGCCAGCUAUUAAAAAUGAGGACAUUAAAUCACUGCAAGCAUUUUCUCUGUUUCUUAAGGGAUGCUCAAAUUUAACAGAAUAUGUUACUCAUUUGAAAGAAUUGGACUUGCCAUCAAAUAUGAGGAGCAUAAUCCUAAAGCUUCCCUAUAAAAUGAGAGAGAGCUGGAGAAAUGUAGCCUGUGACCUGCAGGAACACAGGGGUCAGAGGGCAUUAUUCAUUGAUUUGGUUGUUUUUAUUGAAAAACAAGUUAAAGUUGUAUCUGAUCCACUGUUUGGUAACAUUAUAGAUCUUCAACAGCUCAACUCUAAAAACACCCACAGCAGCUUUACCAAACAGAAGAAAAGGGGGAAUAGUUUUGCUACAAAUGUUCUUGCAGUAAAAAAUGAAGAUCUAUCUGAAAAUAAGAACAAGUCCUCAAAGGGUUAUAGCUGUUUGUAUUGUCUCCUAAGUAAUCAUACAAUUGACAAAUGCUUUAAGUUUAAAGACAAGUCACAUAAAGAUAAAGUGAACUUUAUUAAGGAAAAGGGAAUGUGUUUUGGCUGCUUGAAGGUGGGUCACAUAAGCAGAGAAUGCAGAGGUCGCUUGGUCUGUUCUGUUUGUCACCAGCAGCAUCCCAGUGUCCUGCACAUCGACAAGGAGAGUACAGGAACUUUCUCCAGACAUCCACAGAAUCCUCUGAAUACCACCUCCACAAUGACUCAGACCUGUGGUCAUGUCAGGGUCUGUGAUGAAGAUAACUCAAACCUUUCUAUUGUUGCAGUUCAAGUCAGGAGUCCAAAAACCAACAUCACUGUGCAGACAUAUGCAUUUUUGGACCCAGGAAGCACAGGAACAUUCUGCACUGAAAGUUUGGCCCGGAAGCUGCAACUGAAAGGUAAAAGAACAAGCAUUCAACUGCAAACAAUGGGACACAAAGAUAUUGUGAGUACAAACAUCAUCUCUGGACUUCAAGUGGCAGCACUUGAUAGAAAUGAUUUCAUUGACCUUCCAGAUGUCAUGACACAGAAACUAAUGCCUGUUUCAAAGCAAAAUGUUCCACAACAGGAGGACAUCGACAAGUGGCCAUACCUGCAAAGCAUCAAGCUCCACGACAUAGAUGCUGAUGUAGAUCUGCUCAUUGGCACAGACGCACCUAAAGUAAUGGAGCCAUGGGAGCUGAUCAACAGUCAGGAGGAAGGCCCAUAUGCAGUUUGGACCCGAGUUGGAUGGGUCAUCAAUGGUCCACUCCGGAGUGAAAGGAACAAAACAGGCUAUCAUAGUUUCACUGUAAACAAGAUUUCUGUUAAACAUCUGGAAACAAUGUUGAUUGAACAAUACAAUCAUGAUUUCAAUGAAAAAACAUCCCAAGAGCAAGUUGAAAUGUCUAGAGAAGACAUCAAGUUCAUGAAUAUCAUGAAUAAUUCGGCACAAUUAAAAAAUGGACAUUAUUGUAUUGAUUUGCCUUUUAAAUCUGAAAGUUCCGUCUUGCCUAUUAAUCGUUGUGUUGCAGAACAACGUCUUCUGAGCCUGAAAAGAAAGUUUAACAUGAACAGCACCUUUAAGAAAGAUUACAUUGCAUUUAUGAAUGACAUGCUAUGUAAUGGAUAUGCUGAAAUUGUACCUGAUGAUCAAUUAAUGGGCAAUGAGGGCAAGGUGUGGUACAUACCCCACCACGGUGUUUAUCACCCCCGAAAAGGCAAAUUAAGAGUUGUUUUUGACUGUGCCGCAACAUUCAAGGGAAUCUCACUGAACUGCCAGCUGCUACAGGAACCUGAUCUGACUAACUCAGUUGUGGGAGUUCUUCUGCGUUUCAGACAAGAGCCAAUAGCAGUUAUGGCAGAUAUUCAAGCUAUGUUCCACCAGGUUCAUGUUCCAGAGAAACACAGAGACUGUCUUCGCUUCCUCUGGUGGCCCAAUGGUGACACAUCGCAAGUUCCACAGGAAUAUCGGAUGACAGUACAUCUGUUUGGAGCAGUGUCCUCCCCAAGCUGUGCAAAUUAUGCAUUAAGAAGAACAGCAGAAGAUAAUGCUCAGCAGUUUCCAGCUGAAGUGGAGGAUUUAAGCUCUCAAAGUGGCUCAGUAACAGUCCCGCCGUUCUGCAAAUGGUUUCGGGCAACACCAAAGCAAAAGAAAUGUUAGAAAUGGAUUUGGAGCUUCCAAUGGAACGUGCACUUGGAUUGCAGUGGUGCCUUCAAAGUGACUCCUUUAAAUUUAAAGCUUCCCUUCCAGAGCGGUCUCGCACAAGAAGAGGAAUACUGUCAGUGAGCUCUGCAGGAGAAACUUGGGCUGGGAUGAUGCAGUUCACCAUCAUUUUUCCAAACAAUGGACCGACUGGCUGGAUGACCUGAAGAGGAUCUCAAAGUUUGAAGUGAGUCGCUGCAUUAAACCUAAAAAUUUUUGUCCUGUUACAGCACAACUCCACCAUUUCUCCGAUGCCAGCCAAGUGGGGUAUGGUACAGUGUCGUAUAUAAGAUUUCAAAGUGAGCAUCAUGUGCAUCUGGCAUUCCUCCUAGGAAAGGCCAGAGUUGCUCCCCUCAAGCAGACAACCAUCCCUCGACUGGAGCUCACUGCAGCUGUCCUUGCUGUACGACUGGACCAACUGCUUCAUAGAGAACUGCAUCUUCUCUGUGAAGAUGUAAUUCUGGAGGCAUCUGUUUUUUGGACAGACAGCACCACUGUCCUAAGAUACAUUUGUAGUGAAGCAAAGAGGUUUCAUACCUUUGUUGCAAACAGAGUGUCAAUCAUUAGAGAAGCUACAUUAGCUAACCAGUGGAGAUAUGUGAGUUCCAAAGACAAUCCAGCAGAUGAAGCAUCAAGAGGGAUGAGAGCAGAGGACUUCUUGGAGCACAGCAAGUGGAUUGAUGGUCCUGAGUUUCUGUACGACUCUGAAAACAAAUGGCCUAAGUUGGGUGUAAAGUAUGACUCACUUCCUGUUGCUGAUGCUGAAAUAAAAAAGGAUGUGAUUGUUAAUGCUGUUGUUGAGGAGGCUAAAAACCCUACCAGUUUUUUCAUCUCCUACUUCUCAUCCUGGAUGAAGCUAAAAACAUCUGUAGCCUGGGUUUUAAAGCUUAAAGAACUCCUUCUUCAACUGUCUCAGAAAAGAAAAGAGUUUUCUGACAUGAUGCAUGAGUCUGCAGAAGAUGCAAACAUUAAAGAGCAAAAGGUGUUGCAAAAGAUGCAGCAGUUUAAAACUAUGCUAAAAAUCCAGUGUUUAACAUCUGAAGAUUUGACUGCAGCAGAGCAUUUCAUUAUUCUCUUCGAACAACAUCACAGGUUUGAGCCAGAGAUAAGCGCACUCAGAGCCAACAAGACAGUCUCCAAAGACAGCCAGCUGUAUCGACUCGAUCCAGUGAUCGAUGAUGGAGUCCUCAGAGAAGGAGCCACAUGUUGUCCAGGCUGCGUCGGAAAUACUGGAUAAUCAGCGCAAACUCUGCUGCCAGAAAGAUCCUGUCUGACUGUGUCACCUGCAGAAGAAAUAGAGGAAAGCUUCUAGAACAAAAAAUGGCCGACUUGCCCCAGGAAAGGGUAAAACCAGACAAACCUCCAUUCUUAGAUGUAUGUGUUGAUUAUUUUGGCCCCAUUGAUGUUAAGAGAGGCAGAAGUCUUCUCAAACGUUAUGGAGUCUUAUUUACUUGCCCAACUAGUCGUGCCGUCCAUUUGGAAGUGGCUCAUACCCUUGAUACUGAUUCUUGCAUUAAUGCAAUCAGAAGAUUCAUCUGCAGGCGUGGUCCAGUCUCUUCUAUCAGAUCAGAUAAUGGCACAAAUUUUGUGGGAGCCAAUAGAGAGCUAAAAGAAGGUCUGGCUGCAUUAAAUCAGAGUAAAAUCCAAAAGGCUCUGGUCCAAGAUGGCAUAAAUUGGCAUUUUAAUAUACCUGCAGCUUCACAUCAUGGUGGCAUCUGGGAACGUUUGAUUCGUUCAGUCAAGAGUGUACUCACCUCAGUUUUAAAACAGCAGGUUUUAGAUGAUGAAACUUUGCAAACUGUUUUCUGUGAGGCUGAAGCCAUUUUGAAUGACAGACCCAUCACUUUGGUCUCUGAUGAUCCAAACGAUUUAGAAGCCCUCACACCAAAUCACAUCCUGAUGUUAAAGAACCAACCUGUUCUGCCACCUGGACUGUUUCAGAAACAAGAUCUGUAUCUCAAACGCAGAUGGAAGCAAGUACAGUAUAUGGCUGAACUCUUUUGGAAAAGAUGGAUCACUGAGUAUCUGCCCUUACUGCAUGAAAGACAAAAAUGGAUGAGACGGAAAAGAAACAUCUCUCCUGGAGACAUUGUCCUGAUCGCAGAUGCUACUGCACCCCGAGGAUGUUGGCAGAUGGGGAGAGUCCUGGCAGUCAAAGCUGAUGGAGGAGGACUGGUUCGUUCAGUGCAACUGCAGACCAAAACCAGUGUGUUGGAGAGGCCAGUGACGAAGCUCUGUCUGCUCCUGGAGGCAUCUGCAGACUAAAGACAUUCUUAUUCUUUCUACUCUAUCCUAUUCUAUUCUUUCUUUUUUCUCUUGCAGGUUCGUCAUUAUGGAAAUGAAGGACAAAGAAGAAUUUAUGUCUUUGCAUUAAUGUAGGACAAUAUUGAGGUUGUUAGAAUAGCUCCUUUAAUUAGAGAUUUAAUUGUGAUUUAAUGCACAAUUAGGGGCUGGAGUGUAGGAGCUAUUUCUCCAUUAUUUUCAGUUAAAGUUUAGAAUGUAGAUUAUUUAGUUUAUUUUUUUGUUUUAUAGUUGAUUUAUA